RNAcentral lists this unclassified non-coding RNA (21 nucleotides) under Dictyostelium discoideum. Lineage: Eukaryota; Evosea; Eumycetozoa; Dictyosteliales; Dictyosteliaceae. The record is from RNAcentral.
UUCAGUUUCAUCAAACAUCUU